CCCUUAGAUGUCCUGGGCUGCACGCGCGCUACACUGAUGUGUCCAGUAAGCACCUAACCUCUUCCGAAAGGAACGGGUAACCUUUGAAAAGCACAUCGUGAUGGGGAUAGAUUAUUGCAAUUAUUAGUCUUGAACGAGGAAUUCCUAGUAAGCACAAGUCAUCAGCUUGUGUUGAUUACGUCCCUGCCCUUUGUACACACCGCCCGUCGCUCCUACCGAUUGAAUGUUCCGGUGAGCUCUUCGGACUGCGCGGUCUGCAGUUUCUGCGUUCCGUGCGGAAAGUUGCGCAAACCUUAACAUUUAGAGGAAGGAGAAGUCGUAACA
Molecule: ribosomal RNA, 324 nt
Filed under: uncultured eukaryote
Lineage: Eukaryota
Description: partial 18S ribosomal RNA
Rfam family: Eukaryotic small subunit ribosomal RNA
Source: RNAcentral